RNAcentral lists this ribosomal RNA (426 nucleotides) under uncultured bacterium. RNAcentral describes it as "partial 16S ribosomal RNA". It matches the Rfam family "Bacterial small subunit ribosomal RNA", at positions 354 to 796 of the family's 1533-position model. The record is from RNAcentral.
GUGAGGAAUUUUCCGCAAUGGGCGAAAGCCUGACGGAGCAAUGCCGCGUGAAGGAUGAAGGCCUAUGGGUUGUAAACUUCUUUUCUCAGAAAAGAAUUAUGACGGUAUCUGAGGAAUAAGCAUCGGCUAACUCUGUGCCAGCAGCCGCGGUAAGACAGAGGAUGCAAGCGUUAUCCGGAAUGAUUGGGCGUAAAGCGUCUGUAGGUUGUUUAAAAAGUAUUCUGUCAAAGAUUAGGGCUUAACCCUAGAUAGGCAGAAUAAACUUUUAAGCUAGAGUUUGGUAGAGGCAGAGGGAAUUCCCGGUGGAACGGUGAAAUGCGUAGAUAUCGGGAGGAACACCAAAGGCGAAGGCACUCUGCUGGGCCAAUACUAACACUGAGAGACGAAAGCGAGGGGAGCAAAUGGGAUUAGAUACCCGAGUAGUCC